GUGAGCGGAAAUUUCAACCAGAUGGCAGAGGAAGGAAGGAGAUGUUGUUCCCACUCUUUAGGAGAGAUGAUGAGCGACUGCUCCCGCUCUUCUUGAUCUGUCUCAUCUGCAAAAUGGUUCUACGUGACUUUUCACUUUGUGCUUGGAAGCAUGUCGGAGCUACCAUACAUCUGAAUUUUGGCUUGAUAUGGUUAUUCUAUUCAUUUGUAGAGAGUAUGCUGUAAUUAUUCUUUGCCCCAGGGGUUUGUUUGUACCGAAUCACUGAAGCUGAAUUGCCCUUCCUUAUGCGUAUUUUCUUUGCAGAUAUAAUUUGCUCACUUGAUUUAUUAGUGUGUUUAUGCUACUUACGUUUGAUCUUGAUUAUAUAAAAAGGAAAAAAAAAGUGCUCAUUGUUGCCCUGAGUUGUAGAUAAUGCCUGGAAUCCAUUAACCAGCUUAAAUUAAAGUGCUGGGUCUAGUAAAUAGGAAGAAGAGGUGGUGUAGAUUGAAGUGCUCUAAGAAAACACCUUUUGCUUGGGAUUUAAUAUGCACAAGGAUGUACACAAGUAUUCCCAUGUAGUUUGGCUAACUAUUCUAAGUUUGGAUGCUUUUGACUGUGUGCCCUAACUCUUGGCUAGGAUUGAAUAGGAUAGAAGAAGCAAAUUAUACUUCAACUGUUACACUGGGAAAUCCUUAGGGAGCACUGAACUUGUUUAAACUGAUCAGCACAAACUUCUUUGAGGCUGUGAUUUCACCUGCUUGUGUCAGCUGGAAGAGGCCUUGGUGCUUGCAGGUGCCUCUGCUGCAGAUGUGGCUGGUGAGAACUUAGCACCUAGCAAACAGCACUUCCUUGUGGCUGAGUUAAUUUUCGGUUAAUGAUAUGGAAGAGGUCUGAAGACCUACAGUGGUGAUGAGAAGUGAGCAACAAGUAGGGGGUGAGGAAGAAAAGCAGGAGUUCUGUGGGUGGGAGCUAAUCCUCUUGUACUGGCAGCAGCAAGCUAUUGGCUGGCUUGGUGUCACUGUAUCUCGAGUCAAUCUGGAUGGGUGAGCAGGUGUCGGCACCUGGUCAGAGCUGGCUGUGCUUUCUUACUUCAAGAUCUGGGACUGUGGAAGGAUUCCCUGGGGAAGCAGGCUUGGAGUGCUGAAUGGCAGUCCUGGGAGUUGAAUUUGCCUCUGAUGGAACCCUGCUGAAAUCCAGAAUUGCAUUCUACCUGACUCCUUCAUGAAGUAAUGCUGCCUUACACAG
Molecule: long non-coding RNA, 1224 nt
Filed under: Phasianus colchicus (ring-necked pheasant)
Lineage: Eukaryota; Metazoa; Chordata; Aves; Galliformes; Phasianidae
Description: lncRNA (ENSPCLG00000012369.1)
Source: RNAcentral